GGCCCGCUGUCCCUGCCCCAGUGGCGGGGGUGGCGGGCGGGGAGGGGGCAGGCGCGGCACAGCGGCGGCGUGGCCCUGAGUGGCCAGGCGUGUCUGUCGGUCUCGGCCCAGCACCUGCAGGGCCCAUCCGUGGGCUCUGCUCCCGGGCUUCGCUACCAGCCUUAGGAGGCACGUCCAGGUCAGGUGGACGCAGAGUGCGUGCCCCCAGGGUGGUCCAGGCUGGGUAGGGCUCUUCUGGUUAGCUCCUCCCCACCUCUUCACUCAGGCCUUCAUCUUACAAAUCGGGAAUCCAGAAGGUUUGGGACUGGGCGCCAUGGCUCACGCCCAUAAUCCCAGCACUUUGGGACGCCACAGCGGGAGGAUCGUUUGAGGCCAUGAGUUUGAGACCAGUCUGGGUGACAGAGUGAGAUCCUGUCUCUAAAUAUAUUUUUCAAAAGACAGUCUCUAUCCCUGUCCUGUGGUAUACAGCAUCCAGGGAAGUGCCCAGGGAGCGGGGCAGGCAGAGGUCUUCCUGCCUGCACCCCACCUAGGCCCAGUUCCUGCGCAGGGGCUUGGCCAGCCCUGGCCAGCUUCCCUCUGAUGAUUGCAGGAAGGGAGUCAGACGUAGAACUCCCAGGAUGCAGAGGCCUGCGGGGUCUGAAGGGCCUCCUCCCUCUCCAGUGUGGUGACUGGGCUGAGCAGAUGCUGGGGCUGAGAGUGUCAUGGUGGAGCCUCCGUCCCUGCUCAUCCUCCCCUCCUGUUGCUUCUGCUCCUGAUGGCUCUCUCUGAAAUGCAGCACAGCGUCCCAGGCCAAUGGAAGAAGGCCCAGAGCUGGCUCCCUGCCUGGAAGCACCAGGAUACCCACGCAGGCAUCCUGAGAAGGCGUGGGGAGCAGGCUGCCUUCAUGGGGGGAGUGCCAGGGCCUGGGCACCCACACCCCCUGACCCAAGAGGGCCCGGGCACCUGUGUGCUGGCCUUUUCACUGACCCUCACUGUCUGCUCUCUUUGUGUCUCUCUCUGACCUCCAGAGGCCUCCUUUCUCUCUGCCAGGAACAGUAGCCCCCCCCCAGCAAGUUCCUCCUUUUUCUCCAGCCUGCAGCCUUCGGCCUCUCCCGUUCUGCUCCACAGCCUGGCUGCUGCACACUCGCCUCUCUCUCCAGGCCCCCCGGGUUCCCUCCGCUUCUCUUGCUGCCUGUUCUCUCCUUUUGCAGGUUGCGUUUAUUGGCUUAUCUCUGGGGGUUGGUGCUCUCCCUUGUUUCCAUUUAAACUGCCUGGCCCCAGAAGGCCCAAGCAGCUUUGAGCUGCAAGGGCAGGACCAUGCAGGCCACCGCUACCCUGCCGCUUAGCAGCAGGGCAGAAUUUCUGAUUCGGUUUAUUAGAGACCUGGUAUGGCAGUCUCUAGACCCCACAGUUGGGCUGGCAUCCGGGCACAGGACCAACACCCCCACACUCCAGAGGCGAACUGUGGAAGUCUGGAGGCUGAAACAGAGAGUCCCACCUUCCCCGAGUCUCCUGGAUGCCAUCUCACACAGAUGCCAUGUGCUGGUCCCAUGGCCACACUCCGGCACUCAGCCCCAUUGCCCGCCUCACUCCUGAGUUGGGGCCACUUUCCAGUGUCACCAGGUGUGAUCAGGGGCCCAGAGCCAGCGGCCUGUGAGAGCCCAGGGGUCUUUGGUCACACCUCCUGCAUGCGCCUCCCGACAGCGCCCACCUCACUGCCACCCAGAGCUCAGGCCCAAGGGAGGGUGGAGGGGACUGAGGGACAGGCCUGGAGUAGGGGUGUAUGGACUGCAGGCUGAGAUGAGCAAUUGAGGGUCAAGUUGCCAGCAGGAGGGAGAAACUGGGAACAGAGUCCCUGUCACUCCAGGGGAAGUUGCUGCUCACUCAGCACUCAGGGGCCCUGGGUGCCAGGCCCAGCUCUCAGGGCAGAGGGCGUGGCAGGGAAGUGAGAUGGUCACACUCAGUUCAGUGAGAGGCAGUGAGGAAAACUGCCAGUGAGACCAGCAUAGUGGCUCACCCCUGUAAUCCCAGCACUUUGGGAAGUCAAGGCAGGUAGAUCCCUUGAGCUCAGGAGUUCAGGACCAGCCUGGGAAACAUAACAAGACCCCAUCUCUACAAAAA
Long non-coding RNA from Piliocolobus tephrosceles (Ugandan red Colobus), 2100 nucleotides. RefSeq lists it as uncharacterized. Lineage: Eukaryota; Metazoa; Chordata; Mammalia; Primates; Cercopithecidae. The record is from RefSeq and is a predicted model, not a curated record. The transcript has 2 exons.